This 253-nucleotide ribosomal RNA is filed under the name uncultured bacterium. RNAcentral's name for it is "partial 16S ribosomal RNA". It matches the Rfam family "Bacterial small subunit ribosomal RNA", at positions 524 to 776 of the family's 1533-position model. The record is from RNAcentral.
UACGGGGGGAGCAAGCGUUGUUCGGAUUUACUGGGCGUAAAGGGCGCGUAGGCGGUAGCACAAGUCAGUUGUGAAAUCUCCGGGCUUAACUCGGAAAGGUCAACUGAUACUGUACGACUAGAGUGCAGAAGGGGCAACUGGAAUUCUCGGUGUAGCGGUGAAAUGCGUAGAUAUCGAGAGGAACACCUGCGGCGAAGGCGGGUUGCUGGGCUGACACUGACGCUGAGGCGCGAAAGCCAGGGGAGCGAACAGG